This 306-nucleotide ribosomal RNA is filed under the name uncultured bacterium. RNAcentral's name for it is "bacterial SSU rRNA". It matches the Rfam family "Bacterial small subunit ribosomal RNA", at positions 474 to 780 of the family's 1533-position model. The record is from RNAcentral.
GGUACCCACAGAAGAAGUCCCGGCAAACUCCGUGCCAGCAGCCGCGGUAAUACGGAGGGGGCAAGCGUUGUUCGGAAUUAUUGGGCGUAAAGGGCAUGUAGGCGGUUUGGUAAGUUAAAGGUGAAAUGCCAGGGCUUAACCCUGGAGCUGCUUUUAAUACUGCCAGACUUGAGUCCGGAAGAGGAUAGCGGAAUUCCUAGUGUAGAGGUGAAAUUCGUAGAUAUUAGGAGGAACACCAGUGGCGAAGGCGGCUAUCUGGUCCGGUACUGACGCUGAGGUGCGAAAGCGUGGGAGCAAACAGGAUUA